This is a non-coding RNA of Danio rerio (zebrafish), 471 nucleotides long. Lineage: Eukaryota; Metazoa; Chordata; Actinopteri; Cypriniformes; Danionidae. The record is from Ensembl.
ACACUUGGCGCAGUUCACACCCUCUGGCUAUUGCACAUGCGCAGAUCUCAUAAAUGAAUCCGACUUUAAUCAACUUAAUUAAGAUCUAUCAUCAAAUUAAUCGAAUUUUCGGAGGCCGGGGUGGAGUGCGUGAGCAGCGGUCGGACAGUCACCAAUCACCGGGCAGCUAAAUGGAUCGACGGAGGAUAAAACCAUUAAAAGAUGCGGAGAAACAAAUCACCAGCUCCACCGACAAGACCCAUUCACUGAAAACCGAAUAUAUAGAAGGUUACAAGGUAUACCCUCGGCCGGCUGGUGAAUGAUGACCAUCUGCACCCUAACUGCACUGUCAAUAAGAUCGUUGUUCAGAGAAAACCUUAUUUGUGCCUUUUUGCAAUUAGGGAUAUUUUCCCUGGAGAGGAAAUAACGUUUGACUAUGGCGCAUGUGAUUGGCCUUGGAGAAAGCUUUCAUUGAAGGAUGCCUAUAUGACU